RNAcentral lists this ribosomal RNA (440 nucleotides) under uncultured bacterium. Its description in RNAcentral is "bacterial SSU rRNA". It matches the Rfam family "Bacterial small subunit ribosomal RNA", at positions 954 to 1392 of the family's 1533-position model. The record is from RNAcentral.
GCUAAACGCGAAGAACCUUACCUGGCCUUGACAUGUCCGGAAUUCUGCAGAGAUGCGGAAGUGCCUUCGGGAAUCGGAACACAGGUGCUGCAUGGCUGUCGUCAGCUCGUGUCGUGAGAUGUUGGGUUAAGUCCCGCAACGAGCGCAACCCUUGUCCUUAGUUGCCAGCGAGUAAUGUCGGGAACUCUAAGGAGACUGCCGGUGACAAACCGGAGGAAGGUGGGGAUGACGUCAAGUCCUCAUGGCCCUUACGGCCAGGGCUACACACGUACUACAAUGGUCGGUACAGAGGGUUGCCAAACCGCAAGGUGGAGCCAAUCCCAGAAAGCCGAUCCCAGUCCGGAUCGGAGUCUGCAACUCGACUCCGUGAAGUCGGAAUCGCUAGUAAUCGCGGAUCAGCUAUGCCGCGGUGAAUACGUUCCCGGGUCUUGUACACACCG